ACACACGCACACACAGUCCAGCCUCCCACCGGACACCUAACCUCAGUCCCCCCUGCAGCGCCAGGAGGAAUAAGUCAGGAGCUUUGACAACAGUGGUUCUCAAACUCCAGUGUGCCCCAGAAUCAACUGGAUGGUUUAUUAACACUGAUUGCUGGGCCUCAUCCUCAGAGAUACUGAUUCUGUAAGUAGAUCUUCGGUGGGGUCUAAGAGUCUGCAUUUUUAACAGGCUCUCAGGUGAUAUGACGCUGCUGGUCUGGGGACCACAUUUUGAGAACCAACAAUCUACAGAAUUACUUCCUAUAACUGGCAUGAUUAUUAAGUGAUGAUGAAUCUUUGGUAAGUAAAUUUUCCACACAAGUGAAGGUUGCCUCAGAUGCGACACUUUCAUUUUAAUUCCUUUUUGAUGAAAACUUUUCUAAAAUGUAUCAUUUUUAUUCUUAUAUAUGUGAACAAGGGGCUCUUAAAUACCACUUAGCUUUUCUUUUGACUGAAGUUAUCAAAUAAUUCCUCUUGGUUUCAGAAGGGAUAAAUAAGCAUGGUCUUUUGACUUAUGAACUUAUUAACCUGAGCAGUAUUUCCGGACUGUGUUCCUGAAGGGACAGUCAUAGAUCCUGAGAAGAGAUAGUAGUGAAACUUACAAGUCAGCACGAGUUCCCUGAGAAUAAGUAGGUAAAGCUAACUUUAUUUCUUUUAUUGUUAUGACUACUAGAUUGGUAAAUUGGAGAAAUGAUAUAGGCAUAGAUAUUGGACUAGCCAGGCUUACCAGGCAAUACCAAAAUGUGUUGAGUUGAUUAAUGGAUGGGUGCCAACCUGGGUAGAUAUUGCUUGUAGAGUGCCAGAGAGUUCUGUCUUUGGCUUUGUCUAAUUCUUUCUCAGUUAUUUGGAUGAGCCAGAACAUAACCCAUUCCCAUUCCUCAGGGGUAUGAAAACAUAGACAAGACCACUUGACAGACAAUAAAGAAAGGGUGUGAAGGACAGCCAGAGGAGACUUUGAGGGCCCAAACAAUCCAGAACUCUGAUUCUCUGAUAGUUAUGAUCACUUGAUUACCUGUUAUGAUACUGUAGUGUAAUAGCCAAAAUAGGUAUGUGACUGCCUUAGAGUUUGUGGUCUUUGCUGCCAGGAUGACAGCAAAUUAACCUUAAUUUUCAAGAACACAUCUCUUGCUGCUCAAUCAAAUUUUAUCCUUUCUCGUAUGUCUUCUUUCAACCUGCUCUUAGAUUGCUCUUUCAGCUCUACAAGGGUCUGUGAAACCAGAUAACUAGACUUGACAAGAAAUAUAAAUGCAACAAGAGUAAGCAGACCAAUGGAGAACAUAAGGGACCACUUGUUUGGAGUUUGGCUCUAGAGUCUCAGAGAGUGUUUUCUCUUACAUUUAUGUUCCAAAGGAAUGAAACGAUUCAAUCUUUGGCCUCCUGAGCUUUCAUAUGUUGGUAUAAGAGACUCAACUAUCUUCUACUCAAUUAUCAUUCACAUUUCAGAGAAAAUUGUAUUUAUUUUAUUGAAUGAUGACUUACCAAAAGGUUGCUACAAAUUAAUAGAAGAUGAAAUACAUAAUGCUGUAUAUUCUGCUCGAAUAUAUUCAUUGUUCAAUUAAAUAUGGUUGCAAGCACAAUAUUAAGACAACUGCCUUGUAUUCAUGUAUAUACACAUACCCUAUAAGCCCUGCUUUCUCAUUUGCUAUUGCCAAGGUGAUAGCUGUUAAUGACAGAUGGGAAAAUGUUUUAAAUAGAAAGGAAUUUGGAGGAAACUAAAAUAAAUCUCACUUUACUUCAUUAUUCCACAUCUUCUUUCCCUGAGUGGCAACAUAUUAAUGAGGACCCUCUUAACAAUACAUGAGUUUUAUUUGAUAGGCUGUCUGAUUUGCGCUUAUUUCCCAUAGGCAAUGGGUGUGUGUAGUCAAGUCCAGGUUAGGGUCAGACAGGUUUUUCAUUUAUCUUUUCUAAUGACCUGUAAAUGUUCCACUGACUUGGGCUUUUAUUUCGGAAGUAAACAUUUUGCUAACUAGUCAUGGGUCAUGUAGGCACAUUAACAACUCCCUGCUAAUUUAUCAUCAUUGCGUAGCUAACCUCCAGUAGGUAAACUAGGUCCUUUUUGCUCUCAUGAUUUUAUGAUGUUGGCAGUGGUAGUAAGUAUGCAUUACUUUGUCUCAUCCCCAACCUGAGAAAAUGAACCUUUUUACAGUCCUUUCAAUCUGAUCACACUAUUUUAAGUGCUGAUGUAUUCUGAAAAGAUGAAUUGUUUUAUGUUGCAAUGUUUCCACUGAGUAAUAGAGUAUCAUGUGGGUGAGGGAGGAAGAAGUAUAGAGUUACAAAUUUAAAUACACUGGCUCUCUAUUCAGAGACUUCCAUAUAAGGGAGCAAGGUGAUACUAUAAAAUAUUCAGAUGUAUUCUAGGGGUACUGUGUGUUUCCUAGAUUAUCAGUUUCCUUUGCUACAUUUCUGGGGACUAACUGCCAACAUAAGAAUUGUAGAUGAUUCAUAAUUAGUAAAUGUGCUUUUUUUUUCUUUGCAGCAAUAUUUGUAAAAAUAACCUUAUUUUUGGUACAUUUAUUUCUGUCUAUUGGGCAAUUUGUGAGAAAUAUAUUACUUGAAAUGUCAUGCUUCAGAAUUUUUUUCUUUUCAUCUAUUUUGAGGAAAACAUUAAGGUUCUGAUUUGAAUUGUUUUAGGAUAGAAAUGUAUUAAGUAACAUAUGUUAUUAAUAAGCUCCAUGUUUUUCUCUAUUCUCUAUAAGGUGCUAAAACAUGCCAGACAGCAGAUUCUUAAUCUAGAAAAUUAUUUAAGCAGCAGCAACAAAAUUCAAAUUUUCUGACAGCGGAAGGUAGAACAGAAAGUUCUCAACUGGGGAUGAUUCUGGCCCCUGGGGACAUUUGUGGAGACAUUUUUGGUUGCCUCAACCUGAGGGGGUCAGGGGAAGUGUGUUCUACUGGUAUCUAGUGGGUCGAGACCAGGGGUGCUGCUCAACUUCCUGCAGUGCAAAACACAGUGCUCACAAUAAGGAAUUACCCAGCCCAGAAUGUCAAUAGUGCUAAGACUGAGAAACCUGGGCCUACAACUGUUUUCAAUACAAAUACAAAUGAAAAUGAGGGAGGCAGUCUGAACUUUACACACUGGAUCAAGAUCCUUUUCAAAGGUGGAAAUAAAGCAACCCUAAAGGAGGAACUCCACCUAGGGUACAAGAAGAGAGGAAACGUUUUGUUCCUUUGUGUUCCGCAUGUCAUUAGGAAGUACACAUGGGUGGACUAUUACAUUACAGUGAAUCAUGACCAUGUGUUCAUUCUAAACAUUGUUGUAUUUGUUAUUCCUAACUUUAAUAAACUGUAAAAUCUGAA
Molecule: long non-coding RNA, 3330 nt
Organism: Homo sapiens (human)
Lineage: Eukaryota; Metazoa; Chordata; Mammalia; Primates; Hominidae
Exons: 2
Source: RefSeq, a predicted model, not a curated record